This 301-nucleotide ribosomal RNA is filed under the name uncultured bacterium. RNAcentral describes it as "partial 16S ribosomal RNA". It matches the Rfam family "Bacterial small subunit ribosomal RNA", at positions 509 to 807 of the family's 1533-position model. The record is from RNAcentral.
CAGCAGCCACGGGAAUAAGUAGGGUGCAAGCGUUAAUCGGAAUUACUGGGCGUAAAGCGUGCGCAGGCGGUUAUAUAAGACAGAUGUGAAAUCCCCGGGCUCAACCUGGGAACUGCAUUUGUGACUGUAUAGCUAGAGUACGGCAGAGGGGGAUGGAAUUCCGCGUGUAGCAGUGAAAUGCGUAGAUAUGCGGAGGAACACCGAUGGCGAAGGCAAUCCCCUGGGCCUGUACUGACGCUCAUGCACGAAAGCGUGGGGAGCAAACAGGAUUAGAUACCCCGGUAGUCCCUGUCUCUUAUAC